Molecule: ribosomal RNA, 1149 nt
Filed under: Colpoda aspera
Lineage: Eukaryota; Ciliophora; Colpodea; Colpodida; Colpodidae
Description: partial small subunit ribosomal RNA
Rfam family: Bacterial small subunit ribosomal RNA (bases 1-990)
Source: RNAcentral
GACAUGAGUAGCAAGCGUUACCCGUAAUUAUUAGGCGUAAAGGAUGUCUAGGCUGUAAAAGUAGUUAUACUAGACCACAACAGUUGUAUGGGGUGUACUAUAAAACCUUUUUACUAGAUUUUUUUGAUUGUACAUGGUUGUUGUAAAUUAGCGAUAAAAUGCAGUCAGUUUACAAUGGUUUUUAGAUAUGGAAGUGGUGUACAGCAUAAAAAUGACGCUGAAACAUGAAAGUAUAAGGAUCGACCAGGAUUAGAGACCCUAUUAGUUUAUACUGUAAACGAUGAGUAUUGAUUUUAAAUUAAUUAAGCUAACGCGAAAAUACUCCGCCUGGGCAGUACUGUCGCAAGGUUGAAACUUAACAGAAUUGGCGGGAAUUUGUUAGAACGGUGGAACAUGUGGUUUAAUACGAUAAUCCGCGUAAAAUCUUACCAAAUUGUUUUUAAUAAAUUUAAAUUUUUUUUAAUAAAAAUUAUUUAUUUAUUAUUUAUGGUACUGCAUGGCUGUCGUCAGUUCUUGUUGUGAAAUAUAGAAUUAAGUUUCAUAAAGAACGCAACUCUUAUUUUUAGUUUUAAAAUUUUUCUUUUUUAAUUGAAAAUUAAUUUUUUUUUGUUUAAAAAAAUUAAUUAAUUUAAUAGAUUAAUUUUUUCUAAAUAAUGAUGCUGUUUUUAAACUCAAAAUUUUUUGAGACUAACAGUUUGAGGAGGAAGAGACUGAAGUCAAGUCCUUAUGGUCCGUGUAUUUUGGGCUACACACGUGUUACAUAGGCGGAAACAAAGAGUUGCUAAAAAUUGAUUUUUCGCAAAUCUCUAAAAACUGUCUCAGUCCAGAUUAUUUUCUGUAAUUCGAAAGUAUGAAGACGAAAUCGUUAGUAAUCGUAAAUUAGUACGUUACGGUGAAUGGUUAAUCAAAUUUUGCACACACCGCCCAUCACGCUCUGAGCAUUAGUACAUUUCGAGAGGCCUAUGAAUAAGCUAUUGAAUUAACACCGCUUGUAUUAUGACCCGGUAUAGUUUAUAUUAAUUUAUGUUUGGCUUUGAUUUAAGUGGUUAAAUACUUGUUGAUGGUUUUUAAUUGCUUUUUAUGUUCCAUAAGUCUUGUCUAUUUUUCGGAAUGGGUUGUUAGACUGUCCUGGUUAUCUGAGUGAAGUUG